UGGGGAAUUUUGGACAAUGGGCGAAAGCCUGAUCCAGCAAUGCCGCGUGUGUGAAGAAGGCCUUCGGGUUGUAAAGCACUUUUGUCCGGAAAGAAAUCCUUGGCUCUAAUACAGUCGGGGGAUGACGGUACCGGAAGAAUAAGCACCGGCUAACUACGUGCCAGCAGCCGCGGUAAUACGUAGGGUGCAAGCGUUAAUCGGAAUUACUGGGCGUAAAGCGUGCGCAGGCGGUUUGCUAAGACCGAUGUGAAAUCCCCGGGCUCAACCUGGGAACUGCAUUGGUGACUGGCAGGCUAGAGUAUGGCAGAGGGGGGUAGAAUUCCACGUGUAGCAGUGAAAUGCGUAGAGAUGUGGAGGAAUACCGAUGGCGAAGGCAGCCCCCUGGGCCAAUACUGACGCUCAUGCACGAAAGCGUGGGGAGCAAACAGGAUUAGAUACCCUGGUAGUCCNCGCCCUAAACGAUGUCAACUAGUUGUUGGGGAUUCAUUUCCUUAGUAACGUAGCUAACGCGUGAAGUUGACCGCCUGGGGAGUACGGUCGCAAGAUUAAAACUCAAAU
RNAcentral lists this ribosomal RNA (558 nucleotides) under uncultured bacterium. RNAcentral's name for it is "partial 16S ribosomal RNA". It matches the Rfam family "Bacterial small subunit ribosomal RNA", at positions 355 to 906 of the family's 1533-position model. The record is from RNAcentral.